UACGUAGGGGGCGAGCGUUGUCCGGAAUUACUGGGCGUAAAGCGCAUGUAGGCGGGCGACUAAGUCAGGGGUGAAAACCGUGGGCUCAACCUACGGCUUGCCCUUGAUACUGGUCGUCUUGAGUACAGGAGAGGGAAGCGGAAUUCCCGGUGUAGCGGUGAAAUGCGUAGAUAUCGGGAGGAAGGUCGGUGGCGAAGGCGGCCUCCUGGGCCUGCACUGACGCUGAGGCGCGAAAGCGUGGGGAGCAAACAGG
Molecule: ribosomal RNA, 253 nt
Filed under: uncultured microorganism
Description: partial 16S ribosomal RNA
Rfam family: Bacterial small subunit ribosomal RNA
Source: RNAcentral